AUAAAAAACUAAAAUCCUUUGUUUAUCUGCUAGGGUUCCAUGCCCUGUCUCAGCCGCCGCCGUUCUUGGCCAAUCAGCCUCCGUUCGCGACAGAGACGGCCUCAGUUCAGCGAUUCCGGCGAGAGAGAGGUAAGUUCGUCCCUUUUCUUUAUAUUUUAAACAAAAAUAAAUAAAAAUAAAAAGAAACUCUAUAGAAAAAAUAAGAUAUAUGUAUAUAUGAAACAAAAUAAAAGAAUGAUAAUCUCAAUGAGGUAAAAACCAGAGAGAAAGAAAACCUUUGUCUUUCAAAAAGAAAAAUCUAUUUGCCUUUGAAUUUCUUUCGGUCUCCCCCCCAUUUUACAGAUUUUUGAUGGCUUUUUAUAGCCAAAAUUACAGCAAAAUAAAAGUAAAAAUCCUAUUUCAUUAUUUGCUGCGUCUAUUGCUGUUUGGAUCCGCUUUUCUCGUAGGUAUGGAGGCUGUGGAAGAGGUGUACGUACGCGGAGGAUGCGGCGGCAGUUAGGGAGGCUGCUGUUGGGCAUGCGGCUGAAGCUUGCUGCUUCUUAGGCUAGGUUUUUUUGAAUAUGGUUUUGGUCUGUAGAUGGGCCUGCUGUAUUUUAUUUUGUAUAGGCCCGGGAAGAAAAAAUUGGUAUUACAAUAAUUAUAAUAAAUAAAGACUAAAACUUGAAAGUAUUUAAA
RNAcentral lists this long non-coding RNA (675 nucleotides) under Gossypium barbadense (sea-island cotton). Its description in RNAcentral is "long non-coding RNA (GBAR_LNC018856)". The record is from RNAcentral. Lineage: Eukaryota; Viridiplantae; Streptophyta; Magnoliopsida; Malvales; Malvaceae.